Molecule: long non-coding RNA, 2170 nt
Organism: Passer domesticus (house sparrow)
Lineage: Eukaryota; Metazoa; Chordata; Aves; Passeriformes; Passeridae
Exons: 4
Source: RefSeq, a predicted model, not a curated record
GCCAUCUGUGGGGGUGCACAUGGCAUGAUGGGACUAUGAUUCCUCGUCUGGUCUUUAAGCAAUGCCGUCAUGGAGUAGUGUCUGCGUUAGUGAUCCCAGUGCACAUAAACGGUUGCAAACUUCUGCACAGCAGAAUAUUGCAAGGCAAAGGUCAAAGGAGACAGGAAAAGUUAGGGUGUCUGUGUCCUUGCAGAAGGCUGGUUUUUUCUAGAGGAGGUUCUGUGUGUGUAUGGGUUGCAGUCGUGUAAUUGGGACACGUUGUAUUGUCUGGACUGCAGUAAGUGCCAGGUAGUUGCCGUACAAACACAGGUAUGGCCUUGCUGAUGCAGUCCUUGAUUUCUCUCUCUCAUCUACAGGAGUAGUUCUUUUACAUCAAGGCUAAAGGCGGCGUGAGAGAGGGAUUGGAAUUUGCAUGCAGUGCAGUCUCAGCUGAAGAGCUCGGGUUUGAGCUCCCAGCUCUGAAGUUAACCUUGGAAAGCACAAAAACGAAAACAAGAUAAAAACCAAGUGGGGUGGGUGUUACUGUGCAGCCAUUGGGUUCAGAGCAGACCAUACCUACAUCAUUACACACAUCAGGUGACAACAGAGUGGCUUCUCCAAGCACAGCUGCUUUUUGCUAGUGAAAGAGUUACUGAAAGAAAAUAAUUUUGUAUGGUCUUGUUCUUUGUGGCCUUGUGGAGAUGAAGUGGAGUUAUGUAACAGGGGUGAGGACUGGCACCACUAUCUAUGUCCGCAGAUAGCUGUGACCAGCGUGGGACUGAGGUGCUGGUGGGGCACAGGAGCUGUGAGAGGUUCAUUUCUCCAAAUCCUCCCCAUUCCUGCCUCUACCACUGCAGGUUGUACCUGCUGGCUUCCCCUUCCAGAAAGGAUGAGCUCCAGUUGUUCCAGUUCCUCCUGAGUCUCUGAAAAGGCUGAGCCACAACUUCUGCAGCUGCUGCAGCCAUCAGGUUUCUUGCAUCAGAAGAAGAGCACAGAUGACAUGAGAGCACAGCUUCUGUUUGCUGGAGAGUUUUAUUUUUGUCUACAUUUUAUGCAAAGAGCUGUGGCCUCAGCCAGCCCGCUCCUCAACACUGACUCUGGUUUUCAACAGGAUGAAUCCCUCUUCCCAUGGCCUGUGGGGUGAAUUAAAAGCCCUGCCAUCUCCUUGGGGUUUGGUUGAAUUCUGCUGGUGCGGAACCAGGAUCGGGCAGGGUGUUUUAAGAAAGAGCAAUAAAGUGUCAAGGUCAAUAAAGUGUCAGAGUGCUGACACACGCUGGCCUGUGUGCUCAAACAGCCUCAAGUCACACAUCCUGACAGCUCUCAAACCAGGCAGUCCAAAUUUUCUGCCUAAAUUGCUGCUUGUGGCUGGAAAACCAGGCCAGGCUGCCUGGGCAUCUCUGUUAUCAUCCCUAUUGUCUGGGUCUUGCAAGCAAUUUUCUGUGUUUUCACUUCUAUUUCAUUUUGCAUCUUGCACAGAAAGAUCUCUGUAUGUUCCAUUUAAGCUGGAAUUUACCAUUCAUUUCCCUGCUGAAGUUAAUGGAACUGUUUGCCUGGAAAAGCUGUAGCCUGCAGAAGCUCUUGCUCUGUAGCACAUCACAGAUUUCCAUGUGCUUUGGUUGAAAAAUUGUUACAAAAAACCAUGCAAAUAAUUGAAGAUAGUGGGGGCUGCAUCCAGGUUGUGAUGAGUUUAAGACUGAAAUGCUCAUCUCCACUUGUGGCUCCUGUUUGCAAUUUGUAUUUUUUUUUAUUUGUAAUAUGAAAGCAACAUUUUUUCUGCCAGAGGUGGAUGCAACUGGAGUUGAUGGCAUUACUGGAGUAAAGGCAAUACUCUCACCUUUUCUUGUUGAUUCAAGCUGCAAGUCUUUUCCACUCUGAAGGAUUACCAUGAGUUUGGUUUUCCAGCCUUGCUAGGAAACGUUUUGUAUCCUUUCAAAAUAGGAACAUUCGAGUUGCAAUUGGCAUGGACUGAGAAAGCCCUUAUUAAUGAACCAUCCUGUUUUUUCUGCUGUAACUUCCAUGCCCUCGGAGCAAGAGCAGGAGGUGACACUUGUGGACAUCAGGCAGGGUGGGAGAUCAGCUCAGCUCCUCUAAUAAAUCAGCUCUAAUUCAAAAUAUGGCCACAAAUGAGGCGACCAUCAUGCCUGGUUGGGACAAAACUGGGAGUCAGGAGCUUCAACUAGUCUGUUUAUUG